GAUUAACGCUGGCGGCGUGCAUAACACAUGCAAGUCGAACGAUGAAGCUUAAAUGAUUUCUUCGGAAUGAACUUAAGUGAAUUAGUGGCGAACGGGUGGGUAACGCGUGAGUAACCUGCCUUACACAAGGGGAUAGCCUCUGGAAACGGAGAAUAAUACCCUAUGACAUUACAGCCUCGCAUGAGGAAGUAAUCAAAGUGUUAGCGGUGUAAGAUGGACUUGCGUCUGAUUAGCUAGUUGGUGAGAUAACAGCCCACCAAGGCAACGAUCAGUAGCCGGCUUGAGAGAGUGUACGGCCACAUUGGGACUGAGACACGGCCCAGACUCCUACGGGAGGCAGCAGUGGGGAAUUUUGCACAAUGGGGGCAACCCUGAUGCAGCGACGCCGCGUGAUUUAGAAGGCCUUCGGGUUGUAAAAAUCUUUUGUAUAGGAAGAAAAUGACAGUACUAUACGAAUAAGGUCCGGCUAAUUACGUGCCAGCAGCCGCGGUAAUACGUAAGGACCGAGCGUUGUCCGGAAUCAUUGGGCGUAAAGGGUACGUAGGCGGUUAAAAAAGUUAGAAGUGAAAGGCUAUAGCUCAACUAUAGUAAGCUUUUAAAACUGUUUAACUUGAGAGAUGGAAGGGAAAGUGGAAUUCCUAGUGUAGCGGUGAAAUGCGCAGAUAUUAGGAGGAAUACCGGUGGCGAAGGCGACUUUCUGGCCAUUAUCUGACGCUGAGGUACGAAAGCGUGGGUAGCAAACAGGAUUAGAUACCCUGGUAGUCCACGCCGUAAACGAUGAGUGUUAGGUGUCUGGUGUUAAACUGGGUGCCGCAGCUAACGCAAUAAACACUCCGCCUGGGGAGUACGCACGCAAGUGUGAAACUCAAAGGAAUUGACGGGGGCCCCCACAAGCGGUGGAGCAUGUGGUUUAAUUCGAAGCAACGCGAAGAACCUUACCAGGUCUUGACAUCCCUCUGACCGUUCUAGAGAUAGAGCUUUCCUUCGGGACAGAGGUGACAGGUGGUGCAUGGUUGUCGUCAGCUCGUGUCGUGAGAUGUUGGGUUAAGUCCCGCAACGAGCGCAACCCCUAUUGUUAGUUGCCAUCAUUUAGUUGGGCACUCUAGCGAGACUGCCGGUAAUAAACCGGAGGAAGGUGGGGAUGACGUCAAAUCAUCAUGCCCCUUAUGACCUGGGCUACACACGUGCUACAAUGGCUGGUACAACGAGUCGCAAGCCGGUGACGGCAAGCUAAUCUCUUAAAGCCAGUCUCAGUUCGGAUUGUAGGCUGCAACUCGCCUACAUGAAGUCGGAAUCACUAGUAAUCGCGGAUCAGCACGCCGCGGUGAAUACGUUCCCGGGCCU
This 1344-nucleotide ribosomal RNA is filed under the name uncultured bacterium. Its description in RNAcentral is "bacterial SSU rRNA". It matches the Rfam family "Bacterial small subunit ribosomal RNA", at positions 28 to 1381 of the family's 1533-position model. The record is from RNAcentral.